RNAcentral lists this ribosomal RNA (482 nucleotides) under uncultured bacterium. RNAcentral's name for it is "partial 16S ribosomal RNA". It matches the Rfam family "Bacterial small subunit ribosomal RNA", at positions 30 to 507 of the family's 1533-position model. The record is from RNAcentral.
AUUGAACGCUGGCGGCAUGCUUUACACAUGCAAGUCGAACGGUAACAGCACUUCGGUGGCUGACGAGUGGCGAACGGGUGAGUAAUACAUCGGAACGUGCCUAGUAGUGGGGGAUAACUACUCGAAAGAGUAGCUAAUACCGCAUGAGAUCUAAGGAUGAAAGCAGGGGACCUUCGGGCCUUGCGCUACUAGAGCGGCUGAUGGCAGAUUAGGUAGUUGGUGGGAUAAAAGCUUACCAAGCCGACGAUCUGUAGCGGGUCUGAGAGGACGACCAGCCAAACUGGAACUGAGACACGGCCCAAACUACGACGGGAGGGGGCAGCGGGGAAUUUUAUGAAAGAGGCGCGAGCCUGAUCCAGUAAUGCAGCGUACAAAAUGAAGGCGUUAGGGUGGUAAACUGCUUUUGUGCGGAAAGAAAAGCACUCUACUAAAACAGGAGGGUCAUGGCGUUACAGUAAGAAUAAGCAACGGCUAACUACGUG